Molecule: non-coding RNA, 68 nt
Organism: Rattus norvegicus (Norway rat)
Lineage: Eukaryota; Metazoa; Chordata; Mammalia; Rodentia; Muridae
Source: Rfam
GGGGAUUUAGCUCAGUGGUAGAGCACUUGCCUAGCAAGCACAAGGCCCUGGGUUCGGUUCCCAGCUCA